UGAGGAAUAUUGGUCAAUGGACGAGAGUCUGAACCAGCCAAGUAGCGUGCAGGAUGACGGCCCUAUGGGUUGUAAACUGCUUUUGUUUGGGAAUAAUCGACAUUACGUGUAAUGUUUUGCAUGUACCAUUCGAAUAAGGACCGGCUAAUUCCGUGCCAGCAGCCGCGGUAAUACGGAAGGUCCAGGCGUUAUCCGGAUUUAUUGGGUUUAAAGGGCGUGUAGGCGGUUGGUUAAGCGUGUUGUGAAAUGUAGAUGCUCAACAUCUGACUUGCAGCGCGAACUGGCUGACUUGAGUACACACAACGUAGGCGGAAUUCAUGGUGUAGCGGUGAAAUGCUUAGAUAUCAUGACGAACUCCGAUUGCGAAGGCAGCUUACGGGAGCGCAACUGACGCUAAAGCUCGAAGGUGCGGGUAUCGAACAGG
RNAcentral lists this ribosomal RNA (424 nucleotides) under Verrucomicrobiota bacterium. RNAcentral's name for it is "Verrucomicrobia bacterium partial 16S ribosomal RNA". It matches the Rfam family "Bacterial small subunit ribosomal RNA", at positions 355 to 776 of the family's 1533-position model. The record is from RNAcentral. Lineage: Bacteria; Pseudomonadati; Verrucomicrobiota.